RNAcentral lists this ribosomal RNA (370 nucleotides) under uncultured bacterium. RNAcentral's name for it is "bacterial SSU rRNA". It matches the Rfam family "Bacterial small subunit ribosomal RNA", at positions 29 to 418 of the family's 1533-position model. The record is from RNAcentral.
AACGAACGCUGGCGGCAUGCCUAACACAUGCAAGUCGAACGGGAUCCUAGCUUGCUAGGUGAGAGUGGCGGACGGGUGAGUAACACGUGGGAAUCUGCCUUUUGGUUCGGAAUAACCCUGGGAAACUAGGGCUAAUACCGGAUACGCCCUUAUGGGGAAAGGUUUACUGCCGGAAGAUCGGCCCGCGUCUGAUUAGCUAGUUGGUGGGGUAACGGCCUACCAAGGCGACGAUCAGUAGCUGGUCUGAGAGGAUGACCAGCCACACUGGGACUGAGACACGGCCCAGACUCCUACGGGAGGCAGCAGUGGGGAAUAUUGCGCAAUGGGCGAAAGCCUGACGCAGCGACGCCGCGUGGGUGAUGAAGGCCUU